Oreochromis niloticus (Nile tilapia) is the source of this 1456-nucleotide long non-coding RNA. RefSeq lists it as uncharacterized. The transcript has 3 exons. Lineage: Eukaryota; Metazoa; Chordata; Actinopteri; Cichliformes; Cichlidae. The record is from RefSeq and is a predicted model, not a curated record.
UGUGUCUCUGUGUGUGCUGAACAUGUAGGACUGAGUCAGGCUGCAUUGACUGUGGGACUUUUCUGUGUUAAAAGCAGGUUGAAGACGGCUCAGAAACAUUUGAAGAUUAAAAUUUAGCAUUAUGGCUGCUGGUGGUGUGUAAAGCUUCUACUCAGCUGUAUUUUUGGUACUAAUUUAUGUUUGUUGUUGUUUAACACAGAUUUCAGAAGUGCAAAGAUGAGCACUGUUGCUUAAUCCUUAAUACUUUAAAUCAGAACUGGAUUGGAAAUCCAAAAAUCCAGAUUCUUCUUCCACAGAAGUUUCAUUUGUCAGUGUGGGACUGCUGAGCCACCUGAAGAACUCAUUUCAUUCAUUCUCCACGAUGUUGAUUUACAGAAAUGUUUCACAGGAACUGAUUCCUCCCAAAGGGUGAACUAGUGUGUUUCCAUAGAUUAUCUCUGUAUGAAUGUACUUCUUAAAUGAAGGCAAGUGUUUGUCCUGUUUUGUUCCUCAGGUACAGUACGUGAUAUUCAGGGCAGGCGGUCAUCACCAGGGGAAGACAAGAAGCAGACGUACUUCCAAGAGGGGGCUGCAGUGAGGACACAGCCUGGUCACUGAGGUCAGAGGAGGCGCUGAAAGGUUUCCCUAAUAGUUCCUGGUGAAUCAAAGCAGGACCAUAAAGGUUGCUGGACUGCAUGAUGGCCUUACCCCUGAGCAGUCAUCCUGUUAAAGGAGGAACCAGUUAGAAGCUGUUUUCAAAGUAGCUGAGCAGAUUUCAUCUCAAUAGAUCAAAGCAGCUCGUGCUCUGUCUGCUUCCAUUCUGAUGGCAAGAAGAAGGAGAAGGAGAAGAAUGCUUCAGCGAAGUGGCGUUCAUGGUCUCAGUGGACAGUCAUGGUCACACACUGCAUGUGGUUUUAAAAGCAACAUUGUUCACCACAACAAUGGAGAUGUGUAAUAUUAGUGCAGCUACAGUUUGUUCUUGAACAUCAGUUCUGUUUUCUACUUUGACCACUUAGACCAAAAAAAGUGUUGUUUUCAGAUUCUUUCUUUUUAAAUCUAUAAAUCACCUGUUCAUUUUUUAUUACAAUUAGUUUCACAUAAAUGUUAGUGUUUCCUUUAUGAUCUUUUAAUGCUUACACUACACUGUACACGUCUACAUUAGAGACAUUUCUGUUACCUGUAUGAGACUGGGCUGCUUGACUACAAUUUGGAAAUGGAUGCAAAAUCACACGGAUCGUGCUAUUGUUUGUUUUUUAAUAUGAUGGACUGAACACAGGAGGUAUCUGACUAAGCAAAGAUUAAUCUGAGCCCAUUUCUACCUGUCUCUGCUGUUUCAACUGUAACUGUCAGGAUAUAUAUUUAUUCCAGCUCUCAUAGGGCAAAGGAAUGACUCAGACUUGUCAAAUGUUCUUUGACUUGAUACACAAUAUGAAGUUCACAAUUUUCUUACAAAUAAAACUAUAAUGACAAACAUGAA